This 483-nucleotide ribosomal RNA is filed under the name uncultured bacterium. Its description in RNAcentral is "partial 16S ribosomal RNA". It matches the Rfam family "Bacterial small subunit ribosomal RNA", at positions 29 to 523 of the family's 1533-position model. The record is from RNAcentral.
AACGAACGCUGGCGGCGUGCUUAACACAUGCAAGUCGAACGAUGAAGCCGGAGCUUGCUCCGGUGGAUUAGUGGCGAACGGGUGAGUAACACGUGAGCAAUCUGCCCUUGACUCUGGGAUAACUGCGGGAAACUGUAGCUAAUACCGGAUACGACACCUUGGGGCAUCCCAGGGUGUGGAAAGAAUUUCGGUCAAGGAUGAGCUCGCGGCCUUUCAGCUAGUUGGUGAGGUAAUGGCUCACCAAGGCGACGACGGGUAGCCGGCCUGAGAGGGUGACCGGCCACACUGGAACUGAGACACGGUCCAGACUCAUACGGGUGGCAGCAGUGGGGAAUAUUGCACAAUGGGCGAAAGCCUGAUGCAGCAACGCCGCGUGAGGGAUGAAGGCCUUCGGGUUGUAAACCUCUUUUAGCAGGGAAGAAGCGAAAGUGACGGUACCUGCAGAAAAAGCACCGGCUAACUACGUGCCAGCCGCCGCAGUAA